This 253-nucleotide ribosomal RNA is filed under the name uncultured bacterium. Its description in RNAcentral is "partial 16S ribosomal RNA". It matches the Rfam family "Bacterial small subunit ribosomal RNA", at positions 524 to 776 of the family's 1533-position model. The record is from RNAcentral.
UACGAAGGGGGCUAGCGUUGUCCGGAAUCACUGGGCGUAAAGCGUGCGUAGGCGGUUUGUUAAGUCCGAAGUGAAAGACCAGGGCUCAACCCUGGGGGUGCUUUGGAAACUGGCAGACUUGAGUGCUGGAGAGGCAAGGGGAAUUCCACGUGUAGCGGUGAAAUGCGUAGAGAUGUGGAGGAACACCAGUGGCGAAGGCGCCUUGCUGGACAGUGACUGACGCUGAGGCACGAAAGCGUGGGGAGCAAACAGG